RNAcentral lists this unclassified non-coding RNA (3980 nucleotides) under Drosophila ananassae. RNAcentral's name for it is "GF22404". Lineage: Eukaryota; Metazoa; Arthropoda; Insecta; Diptera; Drosophilidae. The record is from RNAcentral.
CACAUCUGUAGUCUGGAAUUCAAGCACUCUUUGGACACCAAAUCGCUCGGUUCGCGACUCUCUGCGCUCCUUUCUUCUUUUUUUUUUUACAAUACGACUAUACGACUAUUUCGCUUCCCUACGAUUCGUGGCGCGCGUGACCAGAAGCAACAAAAUACGGCCUAAGUGCGGUGACAGGCGACAAUAAAUAUUGAUGUGACAUACAAAAGCGAAAGCUGCCAAAAAAUAGAAAAAAACACACAUUUGAAAAGCAGCUAGGGACGCAAGCGGCCAACAGGAGACAGCCAGGCGCUACACGGAGAAAGAAAUCGAGAGAGAGAGUGUGAGAGAGCGACAGGACCUUCGCUCCCAGAGAGAGAGAGAGAGAGUGACAGGCGAUCAACAAACGGGAUACAGGGUGUCAUGUGGAGUCCAACGCACUGCAAUGUAACGGUGCUGCGGGCGCGGGGGUUGCAGACCAAGGGCAAGAAUGGCACCAACAACUGCUUCGUCACCAUCGCCCUGGGCAAGGAGAAGUACCAGACCUCGGUCAAGGACAAGUCCGAGCCGAGUGUCAACUGGAACGAGGAGUGCGAGCUAAAAAUCCCUGAUCAGGGCAAUCGCGCCGAACUCACUCUGACCUGCCUGCACAGGAACAACCUGAGCCUGGACGAGUUCCUCGGUCAGGUGACUCUGCCCCUCAACGAGAUGGACGUCUAUGACCGGCCCAGGGCCAAGUGGUUCAAGCUGGAGAGCAAGCCCGGCAAGGAGAAGAAGAACAAGGAGCGUGGUGAACUGGAGGUGCGCAUCGCCUUUGUGGUCAAGUCCGGCUCGCUGACCGAUCUCAGCAAGAAGGACAAGCACAAGUCUUCCAUCGGCCAGCUGGCCAGUUCCGUCGGCGGCAGUCUGCUGUCCAUCGGCAAUGGAGAGAAGCGGCGUAGCAUCAAGAAGCUGGCCGGAUCGCUAAGCUCCAAACUGCACAUCCGCAGCAAGAAGAAACAGGAGGCGGGCGGCGAUGAUAGCAGUUCGUUUGGCGGCUCCUUUGCCAGCCUGGGCACGCCCAACAGCUCGACGGGAAGGGGCCAGAACGGCGGCAGUGGCCGGCGACGUGGCGGCCAGAGGGCGGGCGAAGCAGAUCCUGGGGUGAUUAGCGAGGAUGAGGAUGAGUUUGUGUUCGACAAUCUAUCGCACAAGAGCUCUGGCAGUUCGCUGAACAUCCAGCGGUCGGGACUGCAGCCUCCGGCGGCCGGUACGCCCAACUUCGCCCCACGGCAUCCGUCGCCCUUGCUGAACAACAACAACGGAGUGAGCAGCGCGGCGGCCAAAGGUAAGCCAGCGGGUAGGCCAGCAACCCUCGAUGAGGACGAUGUGCCCAUCGACGCGGAGAUGGAACAGCUUGAGCUCGAUUUCAGUGUCCGUGCCCAUGCUCGUGCGAAUUCCAGCGCAGUCGGAGGAGGAGGAGGUGGAGCUGGUAUUGGAGGUGGACUUGCCAGUACUCUCCCACCAUCAAAGCCACCGCGUAUUCCGGAACAGCUGGAGAGGGAGCGGGAGCGUGAAAGGGAGAAGGAACGUGAACAGGAUCGGGAACGGGAACGGGAACAGAAGCUGGAGAUGGAGCGGAAGAAGCAGCAGGAGUUGGACGCCACCACGGACGAGUGGGCCUCCAAGCUGUAUGGCGGUGGAAAGUUCCUGGAGAUUGGAACUAGUGAUUCCCUGAAACGACGCAGCUGGGAGGCUCGUGUCCCGAUCCCCGCCAGCACCGACGAACCGCCGCCAGUGCCCACGUCCAGUUCGUCGUCUAGUUCGAGCUCGGAAAGUGACGAAGAGGAGCCGGAGGUGGUAGCGAAGCCACCAUCACCCAAGGCAGCAGCACCACCACCACCAUCCCAACCUGAAACCCAGAUUCCUUCAGUUAGCACUCCAGUGGUGGUGCCAGUUCCAGUGGUGUCCACCCCGAAAGUGCCCACUCCUGUGGUGUCUUCGCCUGUGGUGUCCUCUCCGGUGGUGCCUUCCCUGGGAGUGCCCGCUCCACUGGCCUCCUCUUCGUCCCUUUUCUCGCCCGAGGUAGAGCACCGCAACUUCGACACCUUCAACGCCAGCUUCGCCAAGUUCGAGCAGCGCAACAGCACUGCCAUCUUCGCGGACGAGCCGGAGCUGGAGGACCUGGAGCCAGAGCCAGAACGGAUAGCCCCCACGCCCACAGCACGCCCCAAGCCCCAGCCCAGGGUGCUGAUCGAUCCCCGGGCGGAGGAGGAGAAGGCCCGUCAGCAGCGGGCCGAGGAGGAUGCCCGCCUGGAGGCGGAGCUCCGGCUGAACGAGGAGCGUCUGCGCGAAGAGGAGGCUGCCCUGCAGCGUGAACUGGAGGAGGAGGAGGCGGAACGGGAGCGGGAACGCGAGCAGGAGCUGGAACGUCAGAAGCUGGAGGAGCAGCGACGUCGGGAGGCCAAGCGGUGGGAGGAGGAUCAGCGCCUGCUGAGCUUCGCCAAGCGAUCCACAUCGCUGGAGGAACCGCCGGUGCCGGUGCCGGUGCCGGUGGUGGGCACCAAAAUCAUAGUGCCCGUGGACCCGGAGGCCGAGGUGGAUAUAGAGCUAGACCAGGAGCCGGAACACAAUUUCCUAACGCCCGAGCAAUCGCCCAAGGAGUUCCAGACGAACGGCGGCGAGAAGCGGCUGGGCAAGUUCAAGUACGGGAACAAGCGAGAUAAAUAUAAUAAUGAGAAUGAUAGCAACUCGCCCAGUCCCAAGGCCACGGAAAGGAUCAUAAUUGGCCACGAGAAGUCACAAUCGCAUGCAGACCGUCGAUCGGAGAUCUCUGCCCAGUUGGCCAAAAAAUACGAAGGCAAAUCCCGGGAGGAACUAAUGCUAAUUGCCAAUGGAAUGGAGAAUGAGGCUUUGCUGCAACGGCAGCGGGUUAAGGAACUGGAGGACUAUCUGGAUAACCUGCUGCUCCGGGUGAUGGAGACACAUCCGAAGAUCCUGCAGAAUCCCUACUCGCGCACCACAUCCGCCAAGAGUUAUAAAAAUUACAUCAAUAUGAAUGACUUUCUUAAGUAAGUGAGUGCCUGCCUGCCGCAUGUGUUGCAAGUUGCAUUUUAACAACAUAACUUGACCAACAACAACAAAAACAACAACAACAAGUACCAAUCAUCCCAACAACAACAACAACAACAAACAAGAUAAUCAUCACCAACAAACUAUUCAAGGAAGUACAGUGAAACCCGGAAGAGGAGCGAUCUACCGAACGGUUAAAAAAGCCAAACUUGUCACACAACACACUUACAUAAAUGAAGCUUCAAGGACUUCCUACGUCAGGAUCUGGAUGAGAAGGACGCCAAUAAAAAGAGGAAUUAUUUGUAAAAAAUAUUAAGAAACUAUCAAACACCAAGUUGCCUUUGUCGUGGACAGCGAAAUUCAAGUGCUUUCUAAACAAAAAAAAAACAAUCCUAAAGAAGGAUAUCCUAAACUAAAUUAUAUAGGCCUUAAGGACUUAAGGCUCAAGGACUUGCUGAUACUGAUAUUCCCGUACUUUUCCCCGUACUAAAAAAAAAAAGAACUAAAUUAUUUGUACUAUACACCCACACUCACACACACACACACAACAAGCCCUUUUAUAUAUACUAUAUUUUUUAAAUCUAUAUGUUCUCUCGAUGUGUCCCCCGAUUCGAGUCCUUUAUCGAUUGAUUGAAAUUAUCUGAAAGUAUUUUGUUUUUUUUUCUAUGUCAAAUUUUUAUGUAAUAUUUGUUGUGCAAAAAAAAAAAGAGAGAAAAAAGUGAAAAGUUUGAGCCGUUUUUUUGUAAAGUGUCGCCGGGGAAAGCGACCUUAGUGAAUUAAGUCUUAAAUUAUUUAUGUUUUAGUGCUUAAGUCAAGGGGCGGGAAAAGCGGGGUCACCAAUUGGCCCCAAAAUCACACACACACACACACACCACACCACACACACAGUUGAAAUAUGUUGAUACUACUAUGAUUUUACUUAUUGAUAUACAACUCAAACAAUAAAAAUA